This 553-nucleotide ribosomal RNA is filed under the name Keilbachia subacumina. RNAcentral describes it as "partial 16S ribosomal RNA". Lineage: Eukaryota; Metazoa; Arthropoda; Insecta; Diptera; Sciaridae. The record is from RNAcentral.
GUCUUUUUGUAAUUAAUAUAAAGUUUAACCUGCCCAUUGAAAAUAUUUAAAAGGCUGCGGUAUUUUAACCGUACAAAGGUAGCAUAAUCAUUAGUUUUUUAAUUGAAAACUUGUAUGAAUGGUUGAAUGAGAAAUUAACUUUUUUAAAAAAAAUAUUGAAUUUUACUUUUUAAUUAAAAGGUUAAAAUUAUUUUAAAAGACGAGAAGACCCUAUAGAGUUUUAUAAUUAUUAAUUUAUAUUUAUAAUAUAUUAUAAUUUAUUAUUUAAUAAUUUAUAUUUGUUUAUAUUAAAAAGUUUAUUAAGAGUUUUAUUUUGAAAAUUAUUUUAUUGGGGUGAUAAUAAAAUUUAAAAAACUUUUAUUUAUUAUUUACAUUAAUAUAUGAUUGAUUGAUCCAGUUUUAUUGAUUAAAAAAUUAAAUUACCUUAGGGAUAACAGCGUAAUUUUUUUUUAAGUUCAUAUUAAUAAAAAAUUUUGCGACCUCGAUGUUGGAUUAAGAUUUAAUUUUAGGUGCAGCAUUUUAAAAUUUAAGUCUGUUCGACUUUUAAAUUCUU